Molecule: long non-coding RNA, 1246 nt
Organism: Neofelis nebulosa (Clouded leopard)
Lineage: Eukaryota; Metazoa; Chordata; Mammalia; Carnivora; Felidae
Exons: 2
Source: RefSeq, a predicted model, not a curated record
GAAGUCCCCUAGCUCUUCUACCUCAGUAUAUUAAAAGUUUCUGAGCUCCCCUGUACUGGUGGUCCAGCCAGGGUAGGCGGGAGUGGACGUGUGCAGAGGGAGUAAUACACCAAAGCCUCUGUCCAAAGGGAACUGUUGCAUCAAGGCGGAUCUGUGCGCCUUAGCGCCGGUAAAGGCCUGAGUCGCUCAGCUUUUGGGGGAGGGAGGUAUGUCUCUAUAACCGUGGGAUCGAUGUCUCCACACGGAGACGCCUGUCUACCCUGAAGGGGUGCAGAAUGGAGCCUCGCUAUCCUGAAGAGAGGAGGACACUCGAUGCUUCUCCACACAAGUGAGAGUGGAGGACGCCUCUAGUUUCCACCUCAAAUACACGAGCCUUAACGCGCGGCUGGCUGGGAGAGUGCUCACAACGAGAAAAGAGGAGAGUCGUCUCUUACCUCCACUUCCGGCGGGGAUCAAAGAGGAGAGAAUGGCACUACGAUGCGGUUGGUUGGCAGGCUGAGCUAACGCGGAUAGGCUCCGACUUCCGGAUCCCAGCCUUACGGCGCCGGUCCGCCCGCCUUGCUUCGGAUUGACGGCUCGCGCCCGCCCAUCCCUACUCCGCAGGCGCGCUGGUCCCGCCUCCCAGUUUCCCUGUGCGGUGAGAAAAAAAGCCGAGAAGGGGUAGGCGGGGUCCGAGUGGCCGGGUCGAAUAGUGUGGCCAUAUAACUUACUUGUAAGCCAAGAGCUUGUCCGGUGACCUCUGCCUGGGUCCAAAUAUGCGUGUUCCCGAAUUUUAGUAACCAAGCAAUCACCAUGACCGCAUCAUACAAGGGUGGGGGUCAGUCCCUUUGUCUACAAAGGAAGAUGGCGACGGGCUGGGUGUGAGAAAAUGGCCGCCUAGGUCACAUGUUUUGCCGAGUGCUCCCCACCUAAAAGUGACUUGGUUAGCCGUUCCCAACUUCUUCCUGGCUUGUAGGGCCCCAGACAAACCCUGAGGCAGCCGCUCCCAGCGCUUUCUGCCGAAGGCCAAAUGCAUUGUCAGGCCCAGGAGCUGGACAACUGGAAGCCUCUCCCACCCGUUUGCCCUCUUCUCCUCCUCCUCUCUCCUUAUCUUUGGCCCCAGAGCGGCAAAUGAAGAAGGGAAUGAAUGUAUAUCUCUGAAGUGGGUACAAAUAAGGAUUUCUUUAGAAACUAUCUUGAGAAGCUCCUGACCUGGCUGGAGAAUGAGGUGUCCCCUUAAAAAUAGUAAAUAUUAGUCUGACAAUGA